This 500-nucleotide ribosomal RNA is filed under the name Bifidobacterium longum subsp. infantis. RNAcentral describes it as "bacterial SSU rRNA". It matches the Rfam family "Bacterial small subunit ribosomal RNA", at positions 183 to 698 of the family's 1533-position model. The record is from RNAcentral. Lineage: Bacteria; Bacillati; Actinomycetota; Actinomycetes; Bifidobacteriales; Bifidobacteriaceae.
UGAUCGCAUGGUUUGCUGGGAAAGCUUUCGCGGUAUGGGAUGGGGUCGCGUCCUAUCAGCUUGACGGCGGGGUAACGGCCCACCGUGGCUUCGACGGGUAGCCGGCCUGAGAGGGCGACCGGCCACAUUGGGACUGAGAUACGGCCCAGACUCCUACGGGAGGCAGCAGUGGGGAAUAUUGCACAAUGGGCGCAAGCCUGAUGCAGCGACGCCGCGUGAGGGAUGGAGGCCUUCGGGUUGUAAACCUCUUUUAUCGGGGAGCAAGCGAGAGUGAGUUUACCCGUUGAAUAAGCACCGGCUAACUACGUGCCAGCAGCCGCGGUAAUACGUAGGGUGCAAGCGUUAUCCGGAAUUAUUGGGCGUAAAGGGCUCGUAGGCGGUUCGUCGCGUCCGGUGUGAAAGUCCAUCGCUUAACGGUGGAUCCGCGCCGGGUACGGGCGGGCUUGAGUGCGGUAGGGGAGACUGGAAUUCCCGGUGUAACGGUGGAAUGUGUAGAUAUC